AUACGGAGGAUGCGAGCGUUAUCCGGAUUUAUUGGGUUUAAAGGGAGCGUAGGCGGGAGCUUAAGUCAGCGGUUAAAUGGUGCGGCUCAACCGUGCCCUGCCGUUGAAACUGGGUUUCUUGAGAGUGCAAGAGGCGGAUGGAAUUCAUGGGGUAGCGGUGGAAUGCUUAGAUAUCAUGAAGAACUCCGAUUGCGAAGGCAGUCCGCUGGGGCACGUCUGACGCUGAUGCUCGAAGGUGCGGGAAUCAAACAGGAUUAGAUACCCUGGUAGUCCGCACGGUAAACGAUGAUUACCCGCUGUCGGCGGUAGACAGUCGGCGGCCAAGCGAAAGCGAUAAGUAAUCCACCUGGGGAGUACGCCGGCAACGGUGAAACUCAAAUGAAUUGACGGGG
This 392-nucleotide ribosomal RNA is filed under the name uncultured bacterium. RNAcentral describes it as "partial 16S ribosomal RNA". It matches the Rfam family "Bacterial small subunit ribosomal RNA", at positions 523 to 918 of the family's 1533-position model. The record is from RNAcentral.